CCUACGGGUGGCAGCAGUGGGGAAUAUUGGGCAAUGGGCGCAAGCCUGACCCAGCAACGCCGCGUGAAGGAAGAAGGCUUUCGGGUUGUAAACUUCUUUUGUCAGGGACGAAGCAAGUGACGGUACCUGACGAAUAAGCCACGGCUAACUACGUGCCAGCAGCCGCGUUAAUACGUAGGUGGCAAGCUUUAUCCGGAUUUAUUGGGGGUAAAGGGCGGGUAGGCGGGAAUGCAAGUCAGAUGUGAAAACUAUGGGCUCAACCCAUAGCCUGCAUUUGAAACGGUAUUGCUUGAGUGCUGGAGGGGCAAGCGGAAUGCCGGGUGUAGCGGUGAAAUGCGGAGAUAGAAGGAGGAACACCGGUGGCGAAGGCGGAUGGCUGGACAGUAACUGACGCUGAGGCGCGAAAGCGUGGGGAGCAAACAGGAUUAGAUACCCUGGUAGUC
RNAcentral lists this ribosomal RNA (443 nucleotides) under uncultured bacterium. RNAcentral's name for it is "partial 16S ribosomal RNA". It matches the Rfam family "Bacterial small subunit ribosomal RNA", at positions 338 to 795 of the family's 1533-position model. The record is from RNAcentral.